GGGGGUUAGCGUUGUUCGGAAUUACUGGGCGUAAAGCGCGCGUAGGCGGGCUAGUAAGUUAGAGGUGAAAUCCCAGGGCUCAACCCUGGAACUGCCUUUAAUACUGGCAACCUAGAGUUCGAGAGAGGUGAGUGGAAUUCCGAGUGUAGAGGUGAAAUUCGUAGAUAUUCGGAGGAACACCAGUGGCGAAGGCGGCUCACUGGCUCGAUACUGACGCUGAGGUACGAAAGUGUGGGGAGCAAACAGGAUUAGAUACCCUGGUAGUCCACGCCGUAAACGAUCAUCACUCGCUGUUGGCGAUAUACUGUCAGCGGCCAAGCGAAAGUAUUAAGUGAUGCACCUGGGGAGUACGCCGGCAACGGUGAAACUCAAAGGAAUUGACGGGGGCCCGCACAAGCGGUGGAGCAUGUGGUUUAAUUCGAUGAUACGCGAGGAACCUUACCAGGGCUUAAAUGUAAGUUGCAUAGAUCAGAGAUGGUCUUUUCUUCGGACUACUUACAAGGUGCUGCAUGGUU
RNAcentral lists this ribosomal RNA (515 nucleotides) under uncultured Paracoccaceae bacterium. RNAcentral describes it as "bacterial SSU rRNA". It matches the Rfam family "Bacterial small subunit ribosomal RNA", at positions 530 to 1050 of the family's 1533-position model. The record is from RNAcentral. Lineage: Bacteria; Pseudomonadati; Pseudomonadota; Alphaproteobacteria; Rhodobacterales; Paracoccaceae.